GCGGUGGCCCUGCCCUCGCUUGGCCAAAGUCCUCGAUAACCGGGCUCGGGGUAAAAGAACCCACGACGCCUAAGGCGUCAAGGAACACUGUGCCUAGCCUGGGGACGCGGACGGCUUGCUGGCCGCCCCCCGUGCUGCAAUGCUAUUUAAUCCACACGACUCUCGGCAACGGAUAUCUCGGCUCUCGCAUCGAUGAAGAACGUAGCGAAAUGCGAUACCUGGUGUGAAUUGCAGAAUCCCGCGAACCAUCGAGUCUUUGAACGCAAGUUGCGCCCGAGGCCAUUCGGCUGAGGGCACGCCUGCCUGGGCGUCACGCAAAACACGCUCCCACCCCCUCAUCGGGUAGCGGGACGCGGCAUGUGGCCCCUCGUAGCGCAAGCUGCGGUGGGCCGAAGAUAUGGCUGCCGGCGUAUCGUGCCGGACACAGCGCGUGGUGAGCGACCUCGCUUUACUUACCGCAGUGCAUCCGGGGCGUAGCCGACGUGAUGGCCUCCAAGGACCCUUUUAACGGUGCGCACGACGCUCCGACCGCGACCCCAGGUCAGGCGGGACUACCCGCUGAA
RNAcentral lists this ribosomal RNA (563 nucleotides) under embryophyte environmental sample. RNAcentral describes it as "eukaryotic LSU rRNA". The stretch from base 158 to 313 matches the Rfam family "5.8S ribosomal RNA". Lineage: Eukaryota; Viridiplantae; Streptophyta. The record is from RNAcentral.